Transfer RNA from Ovis aries (sheep), 72 nucleotides. It matches the Rfam family "tRNA". From Rfam's summary of the family: Transfer RNA (tRNA) molecules are approximately 80 nucleotides in length. Their secondary structure includes four short double-helical elements and three loops (D, anti-codon, and T loops). NCBI's taxonomy places the organism in Eukaryota, Metazoa, Chordata, Mammalia, Artiodactyla, Bovidae. The record is from Rfam.
UCCCUGGUAGCUCAGAGGUUAAAGCGUCUGCCUCCAAUGCAGAAGACCCGUGUUCGAUCCCUGGGUUGGGAA